CAUGUGGUUAAUUCGAAGCAACGCGAAGAACCUUACCAGGUCUUGACAUCCCGAUGCUAUUUCUAGAGAUAGAAAGUACUUCGGUACAUCGGUGACAGGUGGUGCAUGGUUGUCGUCAGCUCGUGUCGUGAGAUGUUGGGUUAAGUCCCGCAACGAGCGCAACCCCUAUUGUUAGUUGCCAUCAUUCAGUUGGGCACUCUAGCGAGACUGCCGGUAAUAAACCGGAGGAAGGUGGGGAUGACGUCAAAUCAUCAUGCCCCUUAUGACCUGGGCUACACACGUGCUACAAUGGUUGGUACAACGAGUUGCGAGUCGGUGACGGCGAGCUAAUCUCUUAAAGCCAAUCUCAGUUCGGAUUGUAGGCUGCAACUCGCCUACAUGAAGUCGGAAUCGCUAGUAAUCGCGGAUCAGCACGCCGCGGUGAAUACGUUCCCGGGCCUU
This 441-nucleotide ribosomal RNA is filed under the name uncultured Streptococcus sp. RNAcentral describes it as "bacterial SSU rRNA". It matches the Rfam family "Bacterial small subunit ribosomal RNA", at positions 938 to 1382 of the family's 1533-position model. Lineage: Bacteria; Bacillati; Bacillota; Bacilli; Lactobacillales; Streptococcaceae. The record is from RNAcentral.